GGAAGGAUCAUUAUUGAAUGAAACUUUUGGCUGGAUGCUGUUGUGCUGGCCCCUCUUGGGGGUAAUGUGCACACCCUCUGGUUACUUGUUUAUUCUGUUCCACCUGUGCACUGCCUGUAGACACUAAAGUGUCUAUGACAUUUUUUACACACUACACUAUGUUGUAUGUAUUGGUGAAUUAUAUUAAAAUAAAUACAACUUUCAACAAUGGAUCUCUUGGCUCUUGCAUCGAUGAAGAACACAGCGAAAUGUGAUAAGUAAUGUGAAUUGCAGAAUCCAGUGAAUCAUCGAAUCUUUGAACGCAUCUUGCGCUCCUUGGUAUUCUGAGGAGCAUGCCUGUUUGAGAGUCAUUAAACUAUCAAAACACUUUAAUUAAUUAAGUGUUUUGGACUGUGGGAGUACUUUGCUGGCCUUUUUUGAGUUCAGCUCUCCUCAAAAGCAAAUUUAGCUCAGAAGGUGUGGACCAUUAGUGUGAUAACUUGUUUACACUGUGCUUUUCCCCCUUUUGUUGAAUACUAUUUAUUAAUGUCCCUUUGACCUCAAAUCAGGUAGGACUACCCGCUGAACUUAAGCAUAUCAAUAAGCGGAGGAAAAGAAACUAACAAGGAUUCCCCUAGUAACUGCGAGUGAAAUGGGAAAAGCUCAAAUUUGAAAUCUGGCAGUCUCCUUUUUCUUCUUUGGCUGUCCGAGUUGUAAUCUAGAGAAGUGCUUACCUACACUGGACCAUGUAUAAGUCUCCUGGAAUGGAGCGUCAUAGAGGGUGAGAAUCCCGUCUUUGACAUGGACUGCCAGUGUGUUGUGGUGUGCUCUCAAAGAGUCGAGUUGUUUGGGAAUGCAGCUCUAAAUGGGUGGUAAACUCCAUCUAAAGCUAAAUAUUGGCAAGAGACCGAUAGUGAACAAGUACCGUGAGGGAAAGAUGAAAAGGACUUUGGAAAGAGAGUUAAACAGUAUGUGAAAUUGUUGAAAGGGAAACGCUUGAAGUCAGUUAUGUUGGUUAGGGAUCAGCCCAGCUAAUUUUGCUGAGUGAAUUUCCUAGUCUGACAGGCCAACAUCAGUUCUGACUGCUAGAAAAGAGCAGAGGGAAUGUGGCACCUUUGGGUGUGUUAUAGCCUUUUGUCAUAUGUGGCAGUUGGGACUGAGGAAUGCAGCGUGCUGUAAAGCUGGGUUAUGACCACUUUCGCGCUUAGGAUGUUGGCUUUUAAUGGCUUCAAUCGACCCGUCUUGAAACACGGACCAAGGAGUCUAACAUGCCUGCAAGUGUUUGGGUGGAGAAAACCCUUGCGCACAAUGAAAGUAAAAGUUGAGAUCCCUGUCAUGGGGAGCAUCGAUGCCCGGACUGGAGCUUUUAGCGAUGGAUCUGCGGUAGAGCAUGCAUGUUGGGACCCGAAAGAUGGUGAACUAUGCCUGAAUAGGGCAAAGCCAGAGGAAACUCUGGUGGAGGCUCGUAGCGAUUCUGACGUGCAAAUCGAUCGUCGAAUUUGGGUAUAGGGGCGAAAGACUAAUCGAACCAUCUAGUAGCUGGUUCCUGC
This 1529-nucleotide unclassified non-coding RNA is filed under the name uncultured fungus. RNAcentral describes it as "sequence contains 18S rRNA gene, ITS1, 5.8S rRNA gene, ITS2, 28S rRNA gene". The stretch from base 535 to 1529 matches the Rfam family "Eukaryotic large subunit ribosomal RNA", at positions 1 to 961 of the family's 3401-position model. Lineage: Eukaryota; Fungi. The record is from RNAcentral.